Molecule: ribosomal RNA, 253 nt
Filed under: uncultured bacterium
Lineage: Bacteria
Description: partial 16S ribosomal RNA
Rfam family: Bacterial small subunit ribosomal RNA
Source: RNAcentral
UACGAAGGGGGCUAGCGUUGCUCGGAAUCACUGGGCGUAAAGCGCACGUAGGCGGAUUGUUAAGUCAGGGGUGAAAUCCUGGAGCUCAACUCCAGAACUGCCUUUGAUACUGGGGAUCUCGAGUCCGGAAGAGGUGAGUGGAACUGCGAGUGUAGAGGUGAAAUUCGUAGAUAUUCGCAAGAACACCAGUGGCGAAGGCGGCUCACUGGCCCGGAACUGACGCUGAGGUGCGAAAGCGUGGGGAGCAAACAGG